This 1808-nucleotide unclassified non-coding RNA is filed under the name Hevea brasiliensis (rubber tree). Lineage: Eukaryota; Viridiplantae; Streptophyta; Magnoliopsida; Malpighiales; Euphorbiaceae. The record is from RNAcentral.
UUGAUUUGGUUUUUUAGCUGCAAAAAAACCAAAUCAAGAAUUGCCUAUUAAAUGAAUAUGGUACAACAAAUGCCCAGCAGCUAAAAAUCUGGAAGAUAUAAUUUACAAGCACCUGGGGAGAAAACCAUACUUUACACUUACCUCGGUUGCUAGAGCAAUAAACCUAGUGAUCCAAACUUGGAUCAAGGGCAAACCAAUAAAGUUACUCUCCAUUGAUCAUAAGGGAAUGAUAGGGCUCUCUCUUAAUUUCCACAAAUGAUGAGUACUCCUUGCUCAUCGGCUGUUUCCAGGGUUCGCCAUCCAUCUGCAUAUAUGCGUGUUUCCAUUCCCCACCCCUUAUUUCCAAUCGAAUUGCUGCCGCCUGGGCUAUGUGUUUGGCAGAGAUGAGUUCAACCAUAACAAAAGACGCAUGCCAUCCUUGCUUCAACCCAAAAAUUUCUAGCAGACCAUCAUCAACAUGGGCCUCAACAAACCCCCUCUUUUCCAAAUACUCUGGGUUCGGACUGCCCCAUGGCCUUCUCCCACUUCCAUAAUUGUGAAGGUUUAAAGCAACUAUUGCCCUUACACUUCUAGGAAUUGGAAUCAGCUCCCAUUCUGAGCAAUUAACUUUUUUAACAUGCAUCCUCAGGAUAUUUUUGAGGCCCCUCAAACUUGGAUCACUUAUGCACGGUGUAAGGAACCAACCCUGACUGCAAGUAUAACUGGAGUAGAUUAACUUAUUUGUUAUAGGACCCUGUGCAAGAUAAGGUUUUUCAUUACGUAAAUGGUGGAAGCCAUAAGCUAUUUGAGCAUCCAUUCCUAUGCUAAAGUAAUUAUAAAAGACUCCUUCAUAGCAAUUUGCUUUCUCAGGCAACUUCCCCUCAACUUCCAAACCCUGAUCAAGAGAACACUCUUCCGUAGGUUUCAGAGAAUGGGGUGUAUCCACAACGAAUCCAUCUGGCAUCGACACUAGAAGAUGCCAACUAUCUAGACGGUAAAUUGGACCAGUAAUAGCUCUGUAAAGAGAUCUUUUGACAGCUGAUUUCCAAGCAAAGGGAAACGAGCCUCCCCAACCAAAACUCCUCGCCAGAUCAUUGCCUGUACCUAGAGGAAUGAUUCCUACAGGAGGAACUGGCUCCCUCCCCUGUCUGUUAAGUGCUGCAAGACUCCCCAGUACCCAACCAACCGUACCAUCACCUCCAGCAACCAUAAUUCUCAUCUUUUCUCUUGUAUCUCUGGCACAAAGAUCACCAAGGGCAGCCAACUUCUCUAGGCAGACUAACCCAUAUUCAACAAAUUCAUGAGGCUUCACAUCUGAGAGAUCAAAGACCUGUUCUUCACCCAUUAACUGCUGAAGCCGUCCCUUGAGUUCAGGUCCAUGGCGGCCGCCACUCCUAGAAUUGACAAAAACGACCAUGGGGCCCUCAGGAGCCUCCUCAUGGGCGUAAAGUUCACCGGUAUUGAAGUAACGCUCGGCUUCACCGACGGGGUCUUUGGACUUGAUGGAAUCACCAAUUGCGUGACGCAGAUACUCUGGAAUCAGCAGUUUCCUCCUCAAGCUCUCCUUAUCGAUUCGGACCCCCGACAAGCCGCACCCACGGAUCGACUCAAUCAUCGACGAUCGCGCCGGCACGAUCCGAGCCGACGAUCCUCCGGUCGACGUCGGCGAGUCCAUUUCUAAUACUACCCCUCAGUCUCCACAAAGCCAAGUGCUGUAAUGGCUUCGGUUCGGUAUGCGUUUGAAUUGCAACUGAAAAUUUUACGAUUUUUUGCACGAGAAAUGGAGAAAAUGAUUGCAGCAGUUUUCUUUUUCUGUUUUUUUUUUUUUU